Molecule: ribosomal RNA, 253 nt
Filed under: uncultured bacterium
Lineage: Bacteria
Description: partial 16S ribosomal RNA
Rfam family: Bacterial small subunit ribosomal RNA
Source: RNAcentral
GACGAACCGUGCAAACGUUGUUCGGAAUCACUGGGCUUAAAGGGCGCGUAGGCGGGCCAGCCAGUCUGUGGUGAAAGCCUCCAGCUUAACUGGAGAAGUGCCGUGGAUACUGCUGGCCUCGAGGAGGAUAGGGGCAUCUGGAACGGUCGGUGGAGCGGUGAAAUGCGUUGAUAUCGACCGGAACUCCGGUGGCGAAGGCGAGGUGCUGGGUCCUUUCUGACGCUGAGGCGCGAAAGCGUGGGGAGCAAACGGG